This 645-nucleotide long non-coding RNA is filed under the name Lonchura striata (white-rumped munia). RNAcentral's name for it is "domestica (Bengalese finch) lncRNA (ENSLSDG00000003632.1)". The record is from RNAcentral. Lineage: Eukaryota; Metazoa; Chordata; Aves; Passeriformes; Estrildidae.
ACUGUGAGCGCGGGCCGGGCGGGGCCGGGGCGUGGGCAGGGGAGUGGGCAGUGGGUGCGGUCAGUGGGUGUGGUCAGUGGGUGUGGUCCCUGGGUGUGGUCAGUGGGUGUGGUCAGUGGGUGUGGUCAGUGGGCGUGGUCAGUGGGUGUGGUCAGUGGGUGUGGGCAGUGGGUGCGGUCAGUGGGCGUGGGCAGGGGUGUGGUCAGUGGGCGUGGUCAGUGGGCGUGGUCAGUGGGUGUGGGCAGUGGGUGUGGGCAGGGGCAUGGGCAGUGGGUGUGGUCAGUGGGCGUGGUCAGUGGGUGUGGUCAGUGGGUGUGGGCAGUGGGUGUGGGCAGUGGGUGUGAUCAGUGGGUGUGGGCAGUGGGUGUGGACAGUGGGUGUGGUCAGUGGGUGUGGGCAGUGGGUGUGUCCCUGGGUGUGGUCAGUGGGUGCGGUCAGUGGGUGUGGGCAGUGGGUGUGGUCAGUGGGUGUGGUCAGUGGGUGUGGUCAGUGGGCGUGGUCAGUUGUGUGGUCAGUGGGUGUGGUCAGUGGGCGUGGCCCCGGCCCCGGCCCCGCCCCGGCUGACGCGCCGCCCGCAGUCCUGCACGAGGAGCCGGAGCCGCCGUGGCCGUUGGGCGCGGCGCGGCGCUCCCCGGUGCGCGGCAG